RNAcentral lists this ribosomal RNA (458 nucleotides) under uncultured bacterium. Its description in RNAcentral is "partial 16S ribosomal RNA". It matches the Rfam family "Bacterial small subunit ribosomal RNA", at positions 338 to 795 of the family's 1533-position model. The record is from RNAcentral.
CCUACGAGAGUCAGCAGUGAGGAAUAUUGGUCAAUGGGCGAGAGCCUGAACCAGCCAAGUCGCGUGAGGGAGUACUGCCCUAUGGGUUGUAACCCUCUUUUGUCGGGGAGCACAAGCCGGACGUGUCCGGCUGUGAGCGUCCCCGAAGAAAAAGCAUCGGCAAACUCCGUUCCAGCCGCCGCGGUAAGCCGGAGUAUGCGAAGUUUAUCCGGAGUUAUUGGGUUUAAAGGGUGCGCAGGCGGAUUUUUAAGUCAGCGGUAAAAUCGUGGGGCUCAACCCCAUCCAGCCGUUGAAACUGGGGAUCUAGAGUGUGCGAGAGGUAUGCGGAAUGCGUGGUGUAGCGGUGAAAUGCAUAGAUAUCACGCAGAACCCCGAUUGCGAAGGCAGCAGACCGGUGCACAACUGACGCUCAGGCACGAAAGCGUGGGUAUCGAACAGGAUUAGAUACCCCGGUAGUC